GGGGGGGAAAAAUCUCCUGGGGGAUUAAUACUUUCCGGGAGUGACGGUACCCCCAGAGGAAGCACCGGCUAACUCCGUGCCAGCAGCCGCGGUAAUACGGAGGGUGCAAGCGUUAUUCGGAAUUACUGGGCGUAAAGCGCGUGCAGGCGGGCUGACAAGUCUGAUGUGAAAGCCCUGGGCUUAACCUGGGAAGUGCAUUGGAAACUGCUAGUCUUGAAUGCUGGAGAGGAAGGGGGAAUUCCCGGUGUAGAGGUGAAAUUCGUAAAUAUCGGGAAGAAUACCCGUGGCGAACGCCCCCUUCUGGACUGUAACUGACGCUGAGACACGAAAGCGUGGGGAGCAAACAGGAUUAUAUUCCCUGGUAGUCCACGCUGUAUACAAUAAAAACUAUGUGUAGAGGGGUACUCAAUUUCUGUCUGUGUCCCAACAUCAAAAACGUUUAAU
Molecule: ribosomal RNA, 444 nt
Filed under: Syntrophobacteraceae bacterium enrichment culture clone SMSyn19
Lineage: Bacteria; Pseudomonadati; Thermodesulfobacteriota; Syntrophobacteria; Syntrophobacterales; Syntrophobacteraceae
Description: partial 16S ribosomal RNA
Rfam family: Bacterial small subunit ribosomal RNA
Source: RNAcentral